RNAcentral lists this ribosomal RNA (505 nucleotides) under uncultured bacterium. RNAcentral's name for it is "partial 16S ribosomal RNA". It matches the Rfam family "Bacterial small subunit ribosomal RNA", at positions 28 to 507 of the family's 1533-position model. The record is from RNAcentral.
GACGAACGCUGGCGGCGUGCCUAAUACAUGCAAGUAGAACGCACAGUUUAUACCGUAGCUUGCUACACCAUAGACUGUGAGUUGCGAACGGGUGAGUAACGCGUAGGUAACCUGCCUGGUAGCGGGGGAUAACUAUUUGAAACGAUAGCUAAUACCGCAUAAUAUUGAUUAUUGCAUGAUAAUUAAUUGAAAGGUGCAAUUGCACCACUACCAGAUGGACCUGCGUUGUAUUAGCUAGUAGGUGAGGUAACGGCUCACCUAGGCGACGUAACAUAGCCGACCAGAGAGGGUGAUCGGCCACACUGGGAUUGGGACACGGCCCAGACCCCUACGGGAGGGAGCAGUAGGGAAUCUUCGGCAAUGGACGCAAGGCCGACCGAGCAACGCCGCGGGAGUGAAGAAUGUUUUCGGAUCGUAAAGAUCUGUUGUAAGAGAAGAACGGGUGUGAGAGUGGAAAGUUCACACUGUGACGGUAUCUUAACAGAAAGGGACGGCUAACUACGUG